UCCAUCGUCAGCCGGUCCUCCUUGUACUCGACAUCACCGGUUUCCAGGGACGGAGCCAGCAUGGAAGCAUAGGGGGGCAAAGUUUAUAUGAAAUGAUUUUUUUUGGCUACAACAAUUACUAUUAUAGUAGAAAAAUCAAUUUGUUAGGGGGGGGUCUAGCCCCCCCUCGUCCCCCCCUAGAAUCGUCCCUGCCGGUUUCCACGACUUUCCACAUAUCCGCACCUCCAUGAUGACUUUCAUCAGGAGUGCGUGAGGAGAGGGAAGAAGGUACUGGACAUGCCCAUGUCACGCACGGAGAGUGGCGCACCCAGCUCGUCUCCCGGCCUGCCUUGCAGCGCGAGCGCAUCCGCCGCACGCGCCUCCUCAGCCGAGAUCUGCUCAGCGGUCUUGGAGGGGUCGCCAACGACGUCGUCCUUGGGCAUAUGCUUCGGAAUAACCUGAGGCUCUGAUGUCAAUUGUUAGCCCAAACUACAGAGUACUACUCUCUUCCUCUCCUGCUGCUUUCUUUGCUAGCUGCCCCAAACACAAUAGGUCCAGCUUUUGCCUUGUAUUCAUUGGAAUGAAAAUGGCCUGACUACACCGGUGGGAGUGCAGCUCCUUUUAUAGUGGCCAUCAACCGACUAUAGAGCAGAUAUUUAGACUAGCUAAUACGUCACUGCUUACUUCACAUUUUUUCUUACGUUUGAAGCAAUCAAAACCAAACUGGCUACUAGUUUCUUUAGCUACCAAGGCCUGUGUCAAUGCAUCGUCUCUUAGCACGUAAUCAUAUGCGUAAUAAAAACAUAAGAAACAACUACUACCUCCGUCACAGUUUAUAAGGUACACACGUGUACCUAGGUCGUCAAUUUAACUUAUAUAAAAUCUAUUAUUUAAUAUAAAAAUUAUAUCAUUAAAAAAUAAAAUAUCUAAAGUUUUUACUGAUAUAUUUUUUGUAAUGUAUGAUUAUCAUUAAGUUGGUCAAAUUGACGAUCUAGAUACACGUGCCGGACUUAUAAACUGAAAUGAAGGGAGUAGUACAAUGCAUUGUAUCUAAAUUUAAUGAUUUGUGGCUCAUGCAUGCAUGUGAUUGGGUUAGCACCUCUUUUUUGCCUAUGACCACGUGCCAAGGUUGUAUGUUAGCUAAGAUACAACCUCACUAUCUCUCUUCAUUAAAUACAGUGCCACAUAAGCAAAAUGCCAAUGAAACCGCGCUAAGAGACUCACAUUGGCAUAGGCCUAAGGCAUGCAGCCGCUGCUGCUCUUCUGACCGACAUGCACCUCAUGUUUCUCUCGACAGGGUUUAAUGCUCACAAAUUCGUGUUCCUUAUAAGGUAGCAAUGGUUUUGUCAUGCAAUCCAUUACUAUCUCUCAGAAAGUCGAGGCAGUUAUUAGGGCACACAUUCCGAUCAUCACAUCUUUAAUAAAGAAAACUAUUUAUGAGCUUGAAUCUGUGAUGGAUCACGUUGGUAGACCUAUUGGAUCAGACGUUGGGAUAAUCAACACCCAACAGAACUUUUGAGUUAAAUUGCAUUGGAGUCAAAAAGACAUAUGUAGCAUCAUUCAUGUACUUGUGCGGGCUCAGUUAUAUCUAGUCUUGGAGCUGCGUCGUGCAUUUGACAUAAUGCUGAAGCUUGAUGUUGUAAGAUUUUUUCUUCCUGUGGUUGCUUGCUUUGCUAUGUUUCUCGCACUAAGUCCCUUUUUACCAUCACCUUAGGUGCAUUAUGUUCUGAAAGAGCUGGUAAGGAAAUGUAAAUGCAAGUAUUUGGUGGAGCAGAUCAAGGAAGUUAUAAAUGCUCCUGGAUAUGGAGCUGUAGCUCUAGGUCUUUCUCUAUCCCUUUCUCCAUCUAUUAGAAUUGGUGGAUGCUAUGUUCAAUGUUUGCAAGGGUGAGUUCUACAAUUGUAUUGAGGAUCUCCUUUUUAUUACAGGUUCGACUCCAUUUAUGGUGUCUGCUCAAUCUGGUGUCGGUGCUACCGUCAAGUAUUUUCAUGAUCAUGCUGGUGAUGAUAAAGGACGCACAGAUCUCCACCAUGCCGUGGCUGCAGGUUCUCCCCCCUGACUCACAUGCACACAUGAUUUCUUCAAGCUGGUCAUUUUACUAGUAGUUAUAUACUCUAGUACUACACUCGGUUUGUUCAAAUGUGGUAAUACAUGACUUACUGAAUCAUCUUGCUAGGAUGUUGCAAGGUAACAGAGUUCCUCCUUUCAAAUGGAGUGCUGGUCGACACAAACUUGAUGCCCAUGGAACACCAGCUUAUGUGGCUGUUGUAAAUGAGCAGGAUAAGACACUGAAGAUUCUGUUAGACCAGCCAACAAAGGUAUGUAGAUUUGUGAAGUACUCUUUGCACAUGAGCUUAUUUUAUUAAUCGUGGUGGUGAUGUAAAUGAGAACUUUCUUUGCACAAUGAUAUUUGCAUGUGAUUUUACUCCAGUCUCAAUUGUAUUAACUUUCACAAGCUCAUGUUGUGUAGAGAGCAGUUAUAUGCUCUUUGAUAUGGAAUGCUUAAAAUAUGGCUCAUAGUUAUGGUCUUAUUGAUACCAUACCACCUUAGGAAAUGAAAGAAGUGUACAUACCCGCUUAGGCUUUACGAAAUGACUUUGUAUGCCCCUGAGACUUAUAAGCUACUACUCUACCCUCUGAACUCUGGAAAACUGGACCAAUUCAAGGGGUUGAUUAGCCCGUUCUUUUUACAAACAGGAAAAAAAUGGUAUCUAUUGAAAUUGGGUUUGUGAAAUACUUCUCUCAGCCUUCGAUCCAAAAUUAGCAUUUGCUCACAGAUGCAUAUUUGAUAUGCCUUUGCCCCUUUUACAGGCAUUUAGUAAAUGCCCAUCUCCCAAAACAAGAAGUGCGAUAAAAAAUGCUUCAAUAUUUACCUACGUGGUAAGUCAUAUAUUAUUGCUGUGUUUUGUUCUCAUAAAAUGACGACAAAUUGCAAAAGUCAUUAUAAGAGCAUUCUUUUAACCUUUUACAUCUAUUAUUAUAGGUACUCAUGUUGAUUAUCUUUAGCUCAUUUAUAUCAAGUGUGAGUGCUGAAGUAGCAACUCCUAAGUGUCCGGCACCUACCAUCAAUGGUAUUCUCCCAAGAUACACAUGUCCUGUGAUCCAAUUGACAAGUGAUCACUGGUUGCACUCAAAGCGGGAAUCCAAGUAGUUACUGAGCCCUUUCAUUAGCAUUUUAGAAAUAUUUUGAAAAAUAUCAGAGUGGAGUAACCUAACUAUCUUUUAGAUUUUUGGUUGGUGGUGACCACGAGGAACAUGAGCAGGUACCAGAACAUUAUGAAGUUGAUGAUUCCCGCCAAGAAUUUGAUUCUCUUGGCUAUAUCUUUCUAAAAGAAUCCACAUUGUGCGAUUGGUUCUUCAGGUUGAGCAUUAUGCCACUUUGGUACGUACUUUCAUUUUGUUGAUAUUUUUCUAUGUUGCCAUUGAUCCGCAAAAUAAAUGAGGUUCACAAUGUUUUCCAUAUGGCUGUGAUGGCCAAUAGUGCCAAACUACAGCGCAGGUGUACAAUAGUUAGGAAACCAAUAAGACUAGCACAAAUAAAUUAUUUGAUAGGAAAGAGAUAGAUUCAGGUGCGAAAUCAAUAUUAGGAUUCAUUAAAUUGCUAUUAACGCACUUACCAGAUAUGAGAUUAAAUCAACACCUUUGAACAUAUGAUGCAUUCCGAACACUUCGGUUGUUAAAGUGUUGACCAACGAAGCACCGAUACAGAUACGAGUAUCAGUAUCAGGGGAUACAUAAAUUCGCCAUUUUGAAAAAAUGCCAAUACGGGGAUACGUUUUACUAUUUUUUUUAUCUCUCCAGAAUAGUUGGUUGUACACAUACGGGGAUAUGUUUUACUAUUUUUUCAUCUCUCCAGAAUAGUUGGUUGUACAUUUGUUGCAUACUUGCAUACCUCCAGAAUAAAAAGCUCUUGCAAUUUUUUCAUCCAAUUGCUUGCGUAAAUCAUUUAGCUAAGCUUUCUCCAAUGCAGUACUUGGUCCGUCUCUCCUCUUUUUAGUGCUCGCACUCGAUGAAGCAAAACUUGCUGAACCACUAGGCAAAGACACAGUAUUUGGCUUAUUUUUGCUUGGCUGGGCAGGAGAAGAGGAGAAGAGAAGUGUACAUACCUGGCUGCUACGUGAGAGGGGACGUUAUUGAGGAAGGAGGAGCAGAUCGUCCCCGGCUAGCCACUGCUGGCGCUGGUGCUGGGUGCACAGCUGCCGCCUGGUGUGGUGUGAGCUCGGGAGGGAGGAAAUAAGCUGAGAGGGAAAGGAUGGGGGGGCAUUGGGGGUACUAGGCUGCCUCUUAACUGGGCUGAGUGGGCUCUUAACUAGGCCGUGCUGUAUAAAAAAAGUAUUAACAAAGUAUCCUUCAAAGUAUCGCAAUUGUUUUAAAUCUUUUAUUCUCGGACACUCCACUGAUACGUAUCAGAGGAGUAUCGGAGGCGUAUCGGUAUUGGAUACGGUAUCGGAUUCGGAGUCGCUGGAUGGGUGAAGUAUCCGUGCAUUCUAGGUGUUGACACAUGCAUCUACAGCAUGUUGGUGGUGGUUUAGCCGUCGGAGAUAGGUUCGUGGAGGUGAGGGGUGGUGUGAUCAGUGGUCACGCCUGUGGCCCUGUAGGUUGGCUGGAACGGCAAUGGCAUUGCAGAACAACGGGACUACUUUGUCCCGCUGAUAUCUCCCACUACUUCCCGGUCGUCCCAGGUCUGGAUAACGGGGAAGUCAGGAAGAAUGCCUGCAAACAUAGGGAGGGGAAAGAAGGAGCAACUGCAGAUCUUGUACACACUCCCCUCUGCCCUGGAAAGGAAAAAACGCUCAGCGCCAGCCGCCGCCCAAAAGAAAGGCCUCACACAGGUGUGCAAAGCCAGCAAGAAGAGUAAUGGAGGUGGGCCGUGCGCAUAAGGUGCGUCAACUGGAUCUGUUAGAAUUCCAAUACCUCCAUAAAGCUUGAUAAGGCAAAGUUUAGCCCGCCAGCAGAGUGGUCCAAAAUCAUGACUGUCUCACCCAGCAUUGAUACCUACUCUCUGAGGUGAAACCUUAGAUCUGUCCUUCACUGGAUUAGUCUGGAAGUGUUGAUAUUGGCCCUUCUUGAAGGCCUUGUUGAGGAGGAUCAACGACUACUUCAUGAUAUGAAGAAUAUGACCAUAGUUUAUUGUUGUGUAGUUCUUUGUUCUUAUAGGCAGUGGCUAAUCUAGCGUGAUAGUAUAGGGCAGGCUCAAAUCAUCAAUUUACUAAGCCUAAUUAGCAAAUACACUGAAAUUAUUGCAUGCAAAGCACCUUAAUGUAAUUGUCAUAUGCUAUAUUUAAACUGAAAUACGAUUUUGGAGGGUAGCCUUCAGCCCAUUGAAGCCUCCCUACUAGAAUCGCCACCGCUUGUAGGGAUGACCCCCCUACAGUCUCCGGUUCACCAUUUUUGGUCUUUUAUCUUGCCAUGGUAAGAUUGUAAUAAAUAUGGCUGCGUGCUCCCCUAGUCGGUUCAGACGAUCUGAGAGUUUCUCUUCCGCUAUCUAAAAGAAAAAUUCUACUAGCCCCCCUAUACUCUCUGUCCCAAAAUAAGUAAUGCAGAUUUAGUACUAAGUUAGUAUAAAUUUUGUACUAAAGCAGCGACAUUUACUUUGGGACGGAGGAAGUAUUUGUUUUAAAAGGUAGUCUCCUCCAGUUUGGAGAUGCAUGCACUCCACGAAGAGUGAUUCUUUUUUCUUUCUAUUUUGAAUAAUAUGGAAAGUAAUUUCCACUUGUACUUGACCUCCUAGGAGGUUUGUAACAAAACUCCACCUUUUUAAUGCAAUGAAACGCAAGUCUUUUGCGUUUUCUCGAAAAAAAAAGUAAUUCCCAUUUUUCUAUUCGAGUUUCUUCUACAUGUCAUGCAAGUCUACAUGAUCUAAUAAGAUAUAUCUAUUUUUCAUUGCUAUACAGGCUAGUUGUCUGGAAACUGCGACAAAACCAACGUGUGAAAUUCUUGUUAGGUGAUAGAAGUCUGAUCCUUGUAUGGAUAGACACGUUGAUACUCAGCAUGUUUUAUCACAUUUGCUGGAUUCUAUAUGGUCAUCUGUUAUCCAAGUCUAAGUCUGGAGACGAGAAACAUGGCAAGCAUAUUUAUCAUAACAACGUAAUCUGCUGCAUACUUUUCCUGCCCAUGCUGAUACUGCUUCUUCGUCGACAUAGAACUGCUCAGGUAAAACACAAAAGAUCUGUUUGCUACACAAUUUCAAUAUUGGAUUAUCUCGCGCUCAAAUAAAUGAAGUAUUGAGCAUGUUACUUUCAUUGACUUUCAGGCAGCUAGAUACUUAUGUAUCCGAUUACUGGGCUUAUCAUCUCUUGGGUUGCUCUUCUACUGUUCGAGGGGUGUACAGUCAGAAGAAGAUAAUAUUUCUACAGUUGGCGCGAUUGGUUUUGGAGCAAUGAUAUUAAUGUAUAUCAUUAAAUCGUUUACCGUUGUGGUGAGUACAAUUAAUAAAUACUCCCUCCGUCCCAAAAUAAGUGUCUCAACUUUGUACUAGCUCUAGUACAAAAUUGUAUUAAGCUUGGGACAGUUAUUUUGGGACGGAGGGAGUAUUCUUGGAUUUACAAAGUUUAAAAGUGUAGAACUGGGGAAGUUACGGUUUAAUGGCCCCUUUGGGACAUCCACACCCUUACAUAUCCCCGUUUGUUUUUGAGAAUUUACAAAUACACAUCUACAACUAGGAUUACAACUUAACAUACACACGGGCCUCCAGAAGGCUACUAUUUCAACCCUAUUAGGAUACUAAUGCUAUGUACUCUUAUAUGACACCAUAACUCUACUUCAGACCAAAUAGGCAUAAUUAAGCCAAUCAGUAGCACGCCUAUAUACCCCUGAAGCAAAGCCUAGAGCCAAUGGGCCUUCUCCUCUUCUCAUAGCAUGGACAAAGUUGCAACAACCUAAUCAGUCAUCAGGCGCUUCUGUACAUCUCCACUGGUUGCUACAACCUCCAUCCCAAAUUACUUACGUGUCUAGAUACAUACAUAUCUAGAAAAAUCUAAGACAAGUAAUUUAGGACGGAGGGAGUAAUUGGUAGAGCUUGUUUGUGGAAGAUCAGUAGUUCUUUUUUUCUCCAAGCAGAUCGGCAGUUCUUCUAUUCUCCAACGGAUAGGAGCUCCAUAGUUCAUUUUGCUUAAUCCUGAUCCAGCAGAAAGACAAGCAGAGAACGUAACAGAUUGAGAAUUGUUAAGCUUCAUGCAAUAGCCAACGCAACCAAAAAUCCGAACCGAUGGAAAGAGCUAGUGCAAUCCAGAUAUACUGCAACACCCCCUCUCACGUGUGACGGGGAAGAUAAGUCAACACGUGCAACCGAAAGAGAGCGACGGCGCGCGAAACUCACGUAUGACUCCUCUACGUGGACACAAAGGGGGCUACCAACAAUUUUUAAUAAAUUGCGAAAGCCAGGACUUGAACUCAAGACCUUAGCUUUGAUACCAUGUUAAGCUUCAUGCACUAGCCAAUGCAACCAAAAGUCCGAACUGAUGGAAAGGGCUAGUGCAAUCCACAUAUAUGUUUCUGAAUUCUGUGACUUUUCCUACUCAUACCAUAAGACACCGCUUGCUUCUCUUCAGAGAGAUCCUGCAUAUUGUUUUACAGAGAGAUCCUAGCCAACGCAACCAAAAGUCCGAACUGAUGAAAAAGGCUAAUGCAAUCCACAUAUACUGUAACACCCCCUCUCACGUGUGACGGCCCGAGAAACUCACGUAUGACUCAAGAGGCCUCUACGUGGACACAAAGGGAGGAUACCAGCAAUUUUUAAUAAAUUGCGAAAGGCAGGACUUGAACUCAAGACCUUAACUCUGAU
Molecule: long non-coding RNA, 7760 nt
Filed under: Hordeum vulgare
Lineage: Eukaryota; Viridiplantae; Streptophyta; Magnoliopsida; Poales; Poaceae
Description: long non-coding RNA (HVUL_LNC006677)
Source: RNAcentral